UACGGGGGGGGCAAGCGUUGUUCGGAAUUACUGGGCGUAAAGGGCUCGUAGGCGGCCAACUAAGUCAGACGUGAAAUCCCUCGGCUUAACCGGGGAACUGCGUCUGAUACUGGAUGGCUUGAGUUUGGGAGAGGGAUGCGGAAUUCCAGGUGUAGCGGUGAAAUGCGUAGAUAUCAGGAGGAACACCGGUGGCGAAGGCGGGAUCCUGGGCCAGUACUGACGCUGAGGUGCGAAAGCGUGGGGAGCGAUCCGG
This 253-nucleotide ribosomal RNA is filed under the name uncultured bacterium. RNAcentral's name for it is "partial 16S ribosomal RNA". It matches the Rfam family "Bacterial small subunit ribosomal RNA", at positions 524 to 776 of the family's 1533-position model. The record is from RNAcentral.